This 542-nucleotide ribosomal RNA is filed under the name uncultured Ascomycota. Its description in RNAcentral is "eukaryotic LSU rRNA". The stretch from base 187 to 340 matches the Rfam family "5.8S ribosomal RNA". The record is from RNAcentral. Lineage: Eukaryota; Fungi; Ascomycota.
GAUUUCCGUAGGUGAACCUGCGGAGGGAUCAUUACCGAGUUUACAACUCCCAAACCCCUGUGAACAUACCUAUCGUUGCUUCGGCGGGAUGCCCCAGCUCGACUCGAGCUGGACCCAGGCGCCCGCCGGAGGACCCAAACUCUUGUUUUUAUAUGUAUCUUCUGAGUAAACAAGCAAAUAAAUUAAAACUUUCAACAACGGAUCUCUUGGUUCUGGCAUCGAUGAAGAACGCAGCGAAAUGCGAUAAGUAAUGUGAAUUGCAGAAUUCCGUGAAUCAUCGAAUCUUUGAACGCACAUUGCGCCCGCCAGUAUUCUGGCGGGCAUGCCUGUUCGAGCGUCAUUUCAACCCUCAAGCCCCCGGGCUUGGUGUUGGGGCUCGGCCCGUCCCUAGCGGAUGCGCCGUCCCCGAAAUCUAGUGGCGGUCUCGCUGUAGCCUCCUCUGCGUAGUAGCUAACACCUCGCAAUGGGAACGCAGCGCGGCCACGCCGUUAAACCCCCCACUUCUGAAGGUUGACCUCGGAUCAGGUAGGAAUACCCGCUGA